Molecule: ribosomal RNA, 101 nt
Filed under: Olea europaea subsp. europaea
Lineage: Eukaryota; Viridiplantae; Streptophyta; Magnoliopsida; Lamiales; Oleaceae
Description: PK-G12rRNA
Source: RNAcentral
UGCAUGACCUGGUGAUCCAUCAAAUGGAAUGUAGUGCAAAGGCAGAAGGGAGCUUGACUACAAGACCCACCCGUCAAGCAGGGAUGAAAGUCGGCCUUAAU